GAUGAAGAACGUAGCGAAAUGAGAUAAGUAAUGUGAAUUGCAGAAUUCAGUGAAUCAUCGAAUCUUUGAACGCACCUUGCACCCCUUGGCAUUCCGAAGGGUAUGCUCGUUUGAGUGUCAUUGUACUCUCACACUCUCCGAUCCUAUGGAUUCGGGAGCGGUGGACUUGGGUGUUGCUGCCUUUCCUUGUGGCUCACCUCAAAUGUGUCAGUGCACCUCUUGGUUGGACAUAGUACGGCGUGAUAAGUGUCUUCGCCGGCACCUCGCAAGAGGGUGGCCGAUCGGGAGCUCUGUGCUUUCAAACCGUCUUCGGACAAUUUCUGACAACUUGACCUCAAAUCGAGCAGGACUACCCGCUGAACUUAAGCAUAUCAAUAAGCGGAGGA
RNAcentral lists this unclassified non-coding RNA (386 nucleotides) under soil metagenome. RNAcentral describes it as "partial contains 5.8S ribosomal RNA, internal transcribed spacer 2, and large subunit ribosomal RNA". The stretch from base 1 to 120 matches the Rfam family "5.8S ribosomal RNA", at positions 35 to 154 of the family's 154-position model. The record is from RNAcentral.